This 497-nucleotide ribosomal RNA is filed under the name uncultured bacterium. RNAcentral describes it as "partial 16S ribosomal RNA". It matches the Rfam family "Bacterial small subunit ribosomal RNA", at positions 28 to 507 of the family's 1533-position model. The record is from RNAcentral.
GAUGAACGCUGGCGGCGUGCCUAAUACAUGCAAGUCGAGCGAACAGACGAGGAGCUUGCUCCUCUGACGUUAGCGGCGGACGGGUGAGUAACACGUGGAUAACCUACCUAUAAGACUGGGAUAACUUCGGGAAACCGGAGCUAAUACCGGAUAAUAUAUUGAACCGCAUGGUUCAAUAGUGAAAGACGGUUUUGCUGUCACUUAUAGAUGGAUCCGCGCCGCAUUAGCUAGUUGGUAAGGUAACGGCUUACCAAGGCAACGAUGCGUAGCCGACCUGAGAGGGUGAUCGGCCACCCUGGAACUGAGACACGGUCCAGACUCCUACGGGAGGCAGCAGUAGGGAAUCUUCCGCAAUGGGCGAAAGCCUUACGGAGCAACGCCGCGUGAGUGAUGAAGGUCUUCGGAUCGUAAAACUCUGUUAUUAGGGAAGAACAAAUGUGUAAGUAACUAUGCACGUCUUGACGGUACCUAAUCAGAAAGCCACGGCUAACUACGUG